UAGAUAUUAGUAAAAUUAUUACAUAACUUUGUCAAAGUUAAAUUACUGGUUUAACUCCUGUAUAUCUUC
RNAcentral lists this transfer RNA (69 nucleotides) under Phyllomys lundi (Lund's Atlantic tree-rat). RNAcentral's name for it is "tRNA-Asp". It matches the Rfam family "tRNA". From Rfam's summary of the family: Transfer RNA (tRNA) molecules are approximately 80 nucleotides in length. Lineage: Eukaryota; Metazoa; Chordata; Mammalia; Rodentia; Echimyidae. The record is from RNAcentral.